UUCAAGACUCCCAGAGAAGCUAUUGAAGGAACUUAUAUUGAUAAGAAAUGCCCCUUCACUGGAACUGUGUCUAUCAGGGGUCGAAUCUUAGCUGGAACUUGCCACAGUGCCAAGAUGAUGAGGACCAUUAUUGUCCGCCGGAAUUACCUUCAUUUUAUAAAGAAAUACCAAAGAUAUGAAAAGAGACAUUCAAAUAUUCCC
Molecule: unclassified non-coding RNA, 201 nt
Filed under: Hevea brasiliensis (rubber tree)
Lineage: Eukaryota; Viridiplantae; Streptophyta; Magnoliopsida; Malpighiales; Euphorbiaceae
Source: RNAcentral